This 1047-nucleotide ribosomal RNA is filed under the name human gut metagenome. RNAcentral describes it as "bacterial SSU rRNA". It matches the Rfam family "Bacterial small subunit ribosomal RNA", at positions 8 to 1038 of the family's 1533-position model. The record is from RNAcentral.
AGAGUUUGAUCCUGGCUCAGAUUGAACGCUGGCGGAACGCUUUACACAUGCAAGUCGAACGGUAACGCGGAGAGAAGCUUGCUUCUCUCCGGCGACGAGUGGCGAACGGGUGAGUAAUACAUCGGAACGUGUCCGCUCGUGGGGGACAACCAGCCGAAAGGUUGGCUAAUACCGCAUGAGUUCUACGGAAGAAAGAGGGGGACCCGCAAGGGCCUCUCGCGAGCGGAGCGGCCGAUGACUGAUUAGCCGGUUGGUGAGGUAACGGCUCACCAAAGCAACGAUCAGUAGCUGGUCUGAGAGGACGACCAGCCACACUGGGACUGAGACACGGCCCAGACUCCUACGGGAGGCAGCAGUGGGGAAUUUUGGACAAUGGGCGCAAGCCUGAUCCAGCUAUUCCGCGUGUGGGAUGAAGGCCCUCGGGUUGUAAACCACUUUUGUAGAGAACGAAAAGACACCUUCGAAAAAAGGGUGUUGCUGACGGUACUCUAAGAAUAAGCACCGGCUAACUACGUGCCAGCAGCCGCGGUAAUACGUAGGGUGCGAGCGUUAAUCGGAAUUACUGGGCGUAAAGGGUGCGCAGGCGGUUGAGUAAGACAGAUGUGAAAUCCCCGAGCUUAACUCGGGAAUGGCAUAUGUGACUGCUCGACUAGAGUGUGUCAGAGGGAGGUGGAAUUCCACGUGUAGCAGUGAAAUGCGUAGAUAUGUGGAAGAACACCGAUGGCGAAGGCAGCCUCCUGGGACAUAACUGACGCUCAGGCACGAAAGCGUGGGGAGCAAACAGGAUUAGAUACCCUGGUAGUCCACGCCCUAAACGAUGUUAACUAGUUGUUGGGAAGUAAAAUUCUCAGUAACGCAGCCAACGCGAGAAGUUAACCGCCUGGGAAGUACGGUCGCAAGACUAAAACUCAAAGGAAUUGACGGGGACCCGCACAAGCGGUGGAUGAUGUGGAUUAAUUCGAUGCAACGCGAAAAACCUUACCUACCCUUGACAUGUCAGGAAGCUCUUGUAAUGAGAGCGUGCCCGCAAGGGAGCCUGAACACAGG